GACGAACGCUGGCGGCGUGCCUAAUACAUGCAAGUUGAGCGCUGAAGGUUGGUACUUGUACCAACUGGAUGAGCAGCGAACGGGUGAGUAACGCGUGGGGAAUCUGCCUUUGAGCGGGGGACAACAUUUGGAAACGAAUGCUAAUACCGCAUAAAAACUUUAAACACAAGUUUUAAGUUUGAAAGAUGCAAUUGCAUCACUCAAAGAUGAUCCCACGUUGUAUUAGCUAGUUGGUGAGGUAAAGGCUCACCAAGGCGAUGAUACAUAGCCGACCUGAGAGGGUGAUCGGCCACAUUGGGACUGAGACACGGCCCAAACUCCUACGGGAGGCAGCAGUAGGGAAUCUUCGGCAAUGGACGAAAGUCUGACCGAGCAACGCCGCGUGAGUGAAGAAGGUUUUCGGAUCGUAAAACUCUGUUGGUAGAGAAGAACGUUGGUGAGAGUGGAAAGCUCAUCAAGUGACGGUAACUACCCAGAAAGGGACGGCUAACUACGUGCCAGCAGCCGCGGUAAUACGUAAGUCCCGAGCGUUGUCCGGAUUUAUUGGGCGUAAAGCGAGUGCAGGUGGUUUAUUAAGUCUGGUGUAAAAGGCAGUGGCUCAACCAUUGUAUGCAUUGGAAACUGGUAGACUUGAGUGCAGGAGAGGAGAGUGGAAUUCCAUGUGUAGCGGUGAAAUGCGUAGAUAUAUGGAGGAACACCGGUGGCGAAAGCGGCUCUCUGGCCUGUAACUGACACUGAGGCUCGAAAGCGUGGGGAGCAAACAGGAUUAGAUACCCUGGUAGUCCAAGGGCGAAUUCCACAUUGGGCUGCAGCCCGGGGGAUCCACUAGUUCUAGAGCGGCCGCACCGCGGAGCUCCC
This 858-nucleotide ribosomal RNA is filed under the name uncultured Lactococcus sp. Its description in RNAcentral is "bacterial SSU rRNA". It matches the Rfam family "Bacterial small subunit ribosomal RNA". The record is from RNAcentral. Lineage: Bacteria; Bacillati; Bacillota; Bacilli; Lactobacillales; Streptococcaceae.